This is a non-coding RNA of Psychrobacter sp. PRwf-1, 1535 nucleotides long. The record is from Rfam. Lineage: Bacteria; Pseudomonadati; Pseudomonadota; Gammaproteobacteria; Moraxellales; Moraxellaceae.
AAACUGAAGAGUUUGAUCAUGGCUCAGAUUGAACGCUGGCGGCAGGCUUAACACAUGCAAGUCGAGCGGUAACAGGAGAAGCUUGCUUCUUGCUGACGAGCGGCGGACGGGUGAGUAAUACUUAGGAAUCUGCCCAGUAGUGGGGGAUAGCUCGGGGAAACUCGAAUUAAUACCGCAUACACCCUACGGGGAAAAGGGGGCGCUUGCGCUCUCGCUAUUGGAUGAGCCUAAGUCGGAUUAGCUAGUUGGUGGGGUAAAGGCCUACCAAGGCGACGAUCUGUAGCUGGUCUGAGAGGAUGAUCAGCCACACCGGGACUGAGACACGGCCCGGACUCCUACGGGAGGCAGCAGUGGGGAAUAUUGGACAAUGGGGGGAACCCUGAUCCAGCCAUGCCGCGUGUGUGAAGAAGGCCUUUUGGUUGUAAAGCACUUUAAGCAGUGAAGAAGACUCUAUGGUUAAUACCCAUAGACGAUGACAUUAGCUGCAGAAUAAGCACCGGCUAACUCUGUGCCAGCAGCCGCGGUAAUACAGAGGGUGCAAGCGUUAAUCGGAAUUACUGGGCGUAAAGCGAGCGUAGGUGGCUUAAUAAGUCAGAUGUGAAAUCCCCGGGCUUAACCUGGGAACUGCAUCUGAUACUGUUAGGCUAGAGUAGGUGAGAGGGAGGUAGAAUUUCAGGUGUAGCGGUGAAAUGCGUAGAGAUCUGAAGGAAUACCGAUGGCGAAGGCAGCCUCCUGGCAUCAUACUGACACUGAGGUUCGAAAGCGUGGGUAGCAAACAGGAUUAGAUACCCUGGUAGUCCACGCCGUAAACGAUGUCUACUAGUCGUUGGGGAACUUGAUUCCUUAGUGACGCAGCUAACGCAAUAAGUAGACCGCCUGGGGAGUACGGCCGCAAGGUUAAAACUCAAAUGAAUUGACGGGGGCCCGCACAAGCGGUGGAGCAUGUGGUUUAAUUCGAUGCAACGCGAAGAACCUUACCUGGUCUUGACAUAUCUAGAAUCCUGCAGAGAUGCGGGAGUGCCUUCGGGAAUUAGAAUACAGGUGCUGCAUGGCUGUCGUCAGCUCGUGUCGUGAGAUGUUGGGUUAAGUCCCGCAACGAGCGCAACCCUUUUCCUUAGUUACCAGCGGUUUGGCCGGGGACUCUAAGGAUACUGCCAGUGACAAACUGGAGGAAGGCGGGGACGACGUCAAGUCAUCAUGGCCCUUACGACCAGGGCUACACACGUGCUACAAUGGUAGGUACAGAGGGCUGCUACACAGCGAUGUGAUGCGAAUCUCAAAAAGCCUAUCGUAGUCCAGAUUGGAGUCUGCAACUCGACUCCAUGAAGUCGGAAUCGCUAGUAAUCGCGGAUCAGAAUGCCGCGGUGAAUACGUUCCCGGGCCUUGUACACACCGCCCGUCACACCAUGGGAGUUGAUUGCACCAGAAGUGGGUAGCCUAACUUUUAGAGGGCGCUCACCACGGUGUGGUCGAUGACUGGGGUGAAGUCGUAACAAGGUAGCCGUAGGGGAACCUGCGGCUGGAUCACCUCCUUA